AUACGUAGGGAGCGAGCGUUGUCCGGAAUUACUGGGUGUAAAGGGAGCGUAGGCGGGAGUGCAAGUCAGAUGUGAAAUACAUGGGCUCAACCCCUGGGCUGCAUUUGAAACUUCAAUUCUUGAGUGAAGCAGAGGUAAGCGGAAUUCCUGGGGUAGCGGUGCAAUGCGUAGAUAUCAGGAGGAACACCGGUGGCGAAGGCGGCUUACUGGGCUUUUACUGACGCUGAGGCUCGAAAGCGUGGGGAGCAAACAGGAUUAGAUACCCUGGUAGUCCACGCUGUAAACGAUGAUUACUAGGUGUGGGGGGACUGACCCCUUCCGUGCCGCAGUUAACACAAUAAGUAAUCCACCUGGGGAGUACGGCCGCAAGGUUGAAACUCAAAUGAAUUGACGGGG
This 396-nucleotide ribosomal RNA is filed under the name uncultured bacterium. Its description in RNAcentral is "partial 16S ribosomal RNA". It matches the Rfam family "Bacterial small subunit ribosomal RNA", at positions 523 to 918 of the family's 1533-position model. The record is from RNAcentral.